UAGCGUUGCUAUGAGUAACAAGCUCCCUCUUCUGAAGGCACUGAGGACACUUGCUGGCAGAAUCGAACCAAUUAACCUUAUUGCCGCCACUGAGCAA
Small nucleolar RNA from Panicum hallii, 97 nucleotides. RefSeq annotates it as small nucleolar RNA R30/Z108. The record is from RefSeq and is a predicted model, not a curated record. The transcript has a single exon. Lineage: Eukaryota; Viridiplantae; Streptophyta; Magnoliopsida; Poales; Poaceae.